GAUGAACGCUGGCGGCGUGCUUAAUACAUGCAAGUCGAGCGAAGCACUUUAACGGAAUUCUCCGGAAGGAAGGUAAAGUGACUGAGCGGCGGACGGGUGAGUAACGCGUGGGUAACCUGCCUUAUACAGGGGGAUAACAGUUAGAAAUGACUGCUAAUACCGCAUAAGCGCACGUCAUCGCAUGAUGGUGUGUGAAAAACUCCGGUGGUAUGAGAUGGACCCGCGUCUGAUUAGGUAGUUGGUGGGGUAACGGCCCACCAAGCCGACGAUCAGUAGCCGACCUGAGAGGGUGACCGGCCACAUUGGGACUGAGACACGGCCCAA
This 324-nucleotide ribosomal RNA is filed under the name uncultured bacterium. RNAcentral's name for it is "bacterial SSU rRNA". It matches the Rfam family "Bacterial small subunit ribosomal RNA", at positions 28 to 334 of the family's 1533-position model. The record is from RNAcentral.